Oncorhynchus keta (chum salmon) is the source of this 349-nucleotide long non-coding RNA. RefSeq lists it as uncharacterized. The transcript has 4 exons. NCBI's taxonomy places the organism in Eukaryota, Metazoa, Chordata, Actinopteri, Salmoniformes, Salmonidae. The record is from RefSeq and is a predicted model, not a curated record.
UCAUCGAGGUUAGUGUUUCUAUAGGUUGGGGGCUUUCAUCAAGGUGUUUCUAUAGGUUGGGGGCUUUCAUCAAGGUUAGUGUUUCUUUAGGUUGGGGGCUUUUAUCAAGGUUAGGGGCUUUCAUCAAGGUUAGUGUUUCUGUAGGUUGGGGGCUUUCAUCAAGGUUAGUGUUUCUGUAGGUUGGGGGCUUUCAUCAAGGUUAGUGUUUCUAUAGGUUGGGGGGCUUUCAUCAAGGUUAGUGUUUCUGUAGGUUGGGGGCUUUCAUCAAGGUUAGUGUUUCUAUAGGUUGGGGCUUUCAUCAAGGUUAGUGUUUCUUUAGGUUGGGGGCUUUCAUCAAGGUUAGUGUUUC